RNAcentral lists this ribosomal RNA (467 nucleotides) under uncultured bacterium. Its description in RNAcentral is "partial 16S ribosomal RNA". It matches the Rfam family "Bacterial small subunit ribosomal RNA", at positions 28 to 507 of the family's 1533-position model. The record is from RNAcentral.
GACGAGCGCUGGCGGCGUGCUUAACACAUGCAAGUCGAACGGAAAGGCCUCUUUCGGGGGGUAAUCGAGUGGCGAACGGGUGAGUAACACGUGAGUAACCUGCCCUUGACUUUGGGAUAACUUCAGGAAACUGGGGCUAAUACCGGAUAGGAGCUCCUGCUGCAUGGUGGGGGUUGGAAAGUUUCGGCGGUUGGGGAUGGACUCGCGGCUUAUCAGCUUGUUGGUGGGGUAGUGGCUUACCAAGGCUUUGACGGGUAGCCGGCCUGAGAGGGUGACCGGCCACAUUGGGACUGAGAUACGGCCCAGACUCCUACGGGAGGCAGCAGUGGGGAAUAUUGCACAAUGGGUGGAAGCCUGAUGCAGCAACGCCGUGUGCGGGAUGACGGCCUUCGGGUUGGAAACCGCUUUCGCUCAUGACGAAGCUUUGUGUGACGGUAGUGGGUAAAGAAGCACCGGCUAACUACGUG